ACAACUUUCAACAACGGAUCUCUUGGUUCUGGCAUCGAUGAAGAACGCAGCGAAAUGCGAUAAGUAGUGUGAAUUGCAGAAUUCAGUGAAUCAUCGAAUCUUUGAACGCACAUUGCGCCCCUCGGUAUUCCGUGGGGCAUGCCUGUUCGAGCGUCAUU
Molecule: ribosomal RNA, 158 nt
Filed under: Murilentithecium lonicerae
Lineage: Eukaryota; Fungi; Ascomycota; Dothideomycetes; Pleosporales; Lentitheciaceae
Description: 5.8S ribosomal RNA
Rfam family: 5.8S ribosomal RNA
About the family: 5.8S ribosomal RNA (5.8S rRNA) is a component of the large subunit of the eukaryotic ribosome. It is transcribed by RNA polymerase I as part of the 45S precursor that also contains 18S and 28S rRNA.
Source: RNAcentral